AAUCCCUUGGUUCCCUCCUGAAUCUCGGGGACUGACAAAAAAAAAAGAACGACACUUUUGGGGCUCAAGAAAAACUACUCCCUCAAUUCAGCACACUCUCGGUUCUCUCCCUGACACAGGGACAAGAAACAAAAACAGACAAGAAAAAAAAAAAAAACUCUCUCGGCUCUUUCUCUGGUCUCUCAACCGAAAAAAAGAAAAAAAAAGAAUAACGCCUCUCCUUCUCUCGGCUCUCAUCUCUCCCAAUAUUUUUCCAACACAUUUUGCACACAACAAGGCAGCAACCGGUUGGAUAAUUGGAGCUUUGCAUCAGAAACUUCAACCAAGCGAUUGCCACCUACAUUGAGGUAAUUUUUAGUUUUGUUUAGCACAUUAAAUCCAUGCUUCAUUGUUUAAUUUUCUUUUGCUUUUGCUGGUUUCCUUGGUUGUUGGGUUGCUAAUUUUUGGGACAAUUCAUGCACAGAACUAAGAAAAAAAGAAACGGGCCCAUGAAUGCAUGUCAAGUGUUUGUGAAAAUGCCAAAAUGGAAAAAAUGAAUUUUAGGGGCUGUUUUGCUUUAUUCUAGUCUCUUUAUGUUGUUUUCUUGUCAAAUUAAAGUCAUAGUAAUAUUUUAUAAGUUGUAAGGAGUGUUAUGGUAUCAUUUUUGGUGAAAGAUAGGGUGAUUUGAAAAAAAUAAAAACUGGACUGUAUUUUGACAUUUUGGCCACUUUUGGGUCAUCUUUUGUAAAAACUAAAUCCGGAAAUGGAACCUACGCGAAAAAUCGAGUGAGGGGGUGUAUUUUGAGGAUUUUUGGUAACCGGAGAGGUCACCGGCGGUAGCGGUCGGCGGCUGCGGCGCCACCGGCGACCACCAUGGCCGCCAGCUGAAGCUUCAGCUCGCCUGGGAAGAAGAAGAGACGGAACGAACGGGGAAGAAAGAAAAGAAAGAAGAAGAAGAAAAAAAAAAAGAAAGAAAAGAAAAGAAAGAAAACGGUUUGGGCUAAUGUUUUUUCUUCGGUUGGGCCAGGAGUUAGUUUUGGUUGGGUUUUGGAAAUGGGCUUUGGUUUAUUUUUUCUUUUGGGUUUCGGAUGGGUUAGGAGGCUGGAGCCCAUGCAUUUCUGGGUCGGGUUUGAGUGAUAAAAUGACGGGCUGGCCUGCUCGUUUCUAUGGAUUUUCUGUUGGGCUUAGGUAGUUUUUGGCCCAAAGAAAUAAAUAAUGGCCCAAUGGCCUUUUUCUCCCCAAUCAGAAAUCAAAUUUUGCACUUUAGCCCCUGAUCUCUGGAGUAGUUCACUUCGGCCCAGAAUAUUUUAAAUUCCUUUCACUUAGGUACUUAAUUUAAUUGCACUUUGGUCCUUGAAUUUUAUCUUUCAUUUAAUUUUGACCCUUAAACUUUGGAAAAAUAUAACUUCUGUCCCUAAAAGUUUUCAAUCUUUGCAAUUCAGUCCCUGAUGAAUUUUGACUCUCUUUAUUAUGAUUGUUUCUUUUCUUUAAUAACUAAUUAUGUUAUUUUUGAACAUAUUCAACUUGCAAUUUUUAGAUGUUCUUAAAUUUCUUUGCGUUUGACAUGUUAAUGUGAAUUUAGUA
RNAcentral lists this long non-coding RNA (1563 nucleotides) under Coffea arabica (coffee). RNAcentral's name for it is "long non-coding RNA (CARA_LNC002230)". Lineage: Eukaryota; Viridiplantae; Streptophyta; Magnoliopsida; Gentianales; Rubiaceae. The record is from RNAcentral.